This 497-nucleotide ribosomal RNA is filed under the name uncultured bacterium. Its description in RNAcentral is "partial 16S ribosomal RNA". It matches the Rfam family "Bacterial small subunit ribosomal RNA", at positions 28 to 507 of the family's 1533-position model. The record is from RNAcentral.
GAUGAACGCUGGCGGCGUGCCUAAUACAUGCAAGUCGAGCGAACAGACGAGGAGCUUGCUCCUCUGACGUUAGCGGCGGACGGGUGAGUAACACGUGGAUAACCUACCUAUAAGACUGGGAUAACUUCGGGAAACCGGGGCUAAUACCGGAUAAUAUAUUGAACCGCAUGGUUCAAUAGUGAAAGACGGUUUUGCUGUCACUUAUAGAUGGAUCCGCGCCGCAUUAGCUAGUUGGUAAGGUAACGGCUUACCAAGGCAACGAUGCGUAGCCGACCUGAGAGGGUGAUCGGCCACACUGGAACUGAGACACGGUCCAGACUCCUACGGGAGGCAGCAGUAGGGAAUCUUCCGCAAUGGGCGAAAGCCUGACGGAGCAACGCCGCGUGAGUGAUGAAGGUCUUCGGAUCGUAAAACUCUGUUAUUAGGGAAGAACAAAUGUGUAAGUAACUAUGCACGUCUUGACGGUACCUAAUCAGAAAGCCACGGCUAACUACGCG